This 398-nucleotide ribosomal RNA is filed under the name Albinaria lycica lycica. RNAcentral's name for it is "partial 12S ribosomal RNA". The record is from RNAcentral. Lineage: Eukaryota; Metazoa; Mollusca; Gastropoda; Stylommatophora; Clausiliidae.
AUUUGAUAAUUUUGUAAGCCAUAAAUAUAUUUAAAUAUGGAUUUUAUUGACUAAUUUAUCCAGUUUAAGAUAUUAAAUAAUAUAAGAAAUUAUAUUUUAGAUAAUUUAUUAACUUAGGUUUAUUAGGUGCCAGCAACCGCGGUCAAACCUAAUAAGUUAGUUUAUGAGGAACAGUAAAUAUAACAAAUUUCUUAAAAGUAAUAUAAUAAUUGGUGAAAUAUUAUUAUGAUAUUAAAUUUAUGUAAGUAAUUAAUAUACCAAACUCUCGAAUAAAACUAGGAUUAGAGACCCUACUAUUAUGAGUUUAACUAAAUAUUUACUAAGGAGUAAAACUAUAUAGUUUAAACUUAAAAAUUAUGGCGGCCAAAUAAACCACUUAGGGGAACUUACCAUAUAAU